RNAcentral lists this transfer RNA (72 nucleotides) under Ovis aries (sheep). It matches the Rfam family "tRNA". Rfam says of the family: Transfer RNA (tRNA) molecules are approximately 80 nucleotides in length. Their secondary structure includes four short double-helical elements and three loops (D, anti-codon, and T loops). Lineage: Eukaryota; Metazoa; Chordata; Mammalia; Artiodactyla; Bovidae. The record is from Rfam by way of RNAcentral.
UCCCGAAUGGCUCAGAUGGGAAAGAAUCUGCCUAUAAUGCAGGAGACCCAGGUUUGAUCCCUGGGUCAGGAA